CAGUCGAGCGGAUGAAGGGGGCUUGCUCCUGGAUUCAGCGGCGGACGGGUGAGUAAUGCCUAGGAAUCUGCCUGGUAGUGGGGGAUAACGUCCGGAAACGGGCGCUAAUACCGCAUACGUCCUGAGGGAGAAAGUGGGGGAUCUUCGGACCUCACGCUAUCAGAUGAGCCUAGGUCGGAUUAGCUAGUUGGUGGGGUAAAGGCCUACCAAGGCGACGAUCCGUAACUGGUCUGAGAGGAUGAUCAGUCACACUGGAACUGAGACACGGUCCAGACUCCUACGGGAGGCAGCAGUGGGGAAUAUUGGACAAUGGGCGAAAGCCUGAUCCAGCCAUGCCGCGUGUGUGAAGAAGGUCUUCGGAUUGUAAAGCACUUUAAGUUGGGAGGAAGGGCAGUAAGUUAAUACCUUGCUGUUUUGACGUUACCAACAGAAUAAGCACCGGCUAACUUCGUGCCAGCAGCCGCGGUAAUACGAAGGGUGCAAGCGUUAAUCGGAAUUACUGGGCGUAAAGCGCGCGUAGGUGGUUCAGCAAGUUGGAUGUGAAAUCCCCGGGCUCAACCUGGGAACUGCAUCCAAAACUACUGAGCUAGAGUACGGUAGAGGGUGGUGGAAUUUCCUGUGUAGCGGUGAAAUGCGUAGAUAUAGGAAGGAACACCAGUGGCGAAGGCGACCACCUGGACUGAUACUGACACUGAGGUGCGAAA
Molecule: ribosomal RNA, 704 nt
Filed under: Pseudomonas aeruginosa
Lineage: Bacteria; Pseudomonadati; Pseudomonadota; Gammaproteobacteria; Pseudomonadales; Pseudomonadaceae
Description: bacterial SSU rRNA
Rfam family: Bacterial small subunit ribosomal RNA
Source: RNAcentral